UACGAGUUCUCGUUGAUGAUCGGUGCUUGCACCGAGAUUCAACAUGGAACGAGUGGCGGACGGGUGAGUAACACGUGGGUAACCUGCCCUUAAGUGGGGGAUAACAUUUGGAAACAGAUGCUAAUACCGCAUAGAUCCAAGAACCGCAUGGUUCUUGGCUGAAAGAUGGCGUAAGCUAUCGCUUUUGGAUGGACCCGCGGCGUAUUAGCUAGUUGGUGAGGUAAUGGCUCACCAAGGCGAUGAUACGUAGCCGAACUGAGAGGUUGAUCGGCCACAUUGGGACUGAGACACGGCCCAAACUCCUACGGGAGGCAGCAGUAGGGAAUCUUCCACAAUGGACGCAAGUCUGAUGGAGCAACGCCGCGUGAGUGAAGAAGGCUUUCGGGUCGUAAAACUCUGUUGUUGGAGAAGAAUGGUCGGCAGAGUAACUGUUGUCGGCGUGACGGUAUCCAACCAGAAAGCCACGGCUAACUACGUGCCAGCAGCCGCGGUAAUACGUAGGUGGCAAGCGUUAUCCGGAUUUAUUGGGCGUAAAGCGAGCGCAGGCGGUUUUUUAAGUCUGAUGUGAAAGCCCUCGGCUUAACCGAGGAAGCGCAUCGGAAACUGGGAAACUUGAGUGCAGAAGAGGACAGUGGAACUCCAUGUGUAGCGGUGAAAUGCGUAGAUAUAUGGAAGAACACCAGUGGCGAAGGCGGCUGUCUGGUCUGUAACUGACGCUGAGGCUCGAAAGCAUGGGUAGCGAACAGGAUUAGAUACCCUGGUAGUCCAUGCCGUAAACGAUGAAUGCUAGGUGUUGGAGGGUUUCCGCCCUUCAGUGCCGCAGCUAACGCAUUAAGCAU
Molecule: ribosomal RNA, 839 nt
Filed under: uncultured bacterium
Lineage: Bacteria
Description: bacterial SSU rRNA
Rfam family: Bacterial small subunit ribosomal RNA
Source: RNAcentral